UCGGACGUGGUGCACGGUGCACAUCCGCUCCUCUUUGAAAUAUACUUUGUCUUUGUUGAGGCGGGAGCCCUGGGUUCGAUUCCCAGCGUCCGAA
Molecule: non-coding RNA, 94 nt
Organism: Mycena latifolia
Lineage: Eukaryota; Fungi; Basidiomycota; Agaricomycetes; Agaricales; Mycenaceae
Source: the annotation of a GenBank genome assembly